RNAcentral lists this ribosomal RNA (253 nucleotides) under uncultured bacterium. RNAcentral's name for it is "partial 16S ribosomal RNA". It matches the Rfam family "Bacterial small subunit ribosomal RNA", at positions 524 to 776 of the family's 1533-position model. The record is from RNAcentral.
GACAGAGGGUGCAAACGUUGUUCGGAAUUACUGGGCGUAAAGCGUGUGUAGGCGGCUACGUAAGUCGGAUGUGAAAGCCCCGGGCUCAACCCGGGAAGUGCACUCGAUACUGCGUAGCUUGAGUACCGGAGAGGUUGGUGGAAUUCUCGGUGUAGAGGUGAAAUUCGUAGAUAUCGAGAGGAACACCGGUGGCGAAGGCGGCCAACUGGACGAGUACUGACGCUGAGGCGCGAAAGCGUGGGGAGCGAACAGG